UUUUUAUGUCGGUCACUUGGACUGAGAACAAUUUAAACCCAUUAACGAGGACCAAUUGGAGGGCAAGUCUGGUGCCAGCAGCCGCGGUAAUUCCAGCUCCAAUAGCGUACAUUAAAGUUGUUGCAGUUAAAAAGCUCGUAGUUGGAUUUCUGGUGUCGUGUUGUAUCCGUACGAUUAAGUUCGUCUCGAGUUACAUUCACGUCGCCAUCUUUUAACAGAGCUUGCCUGGCAUUAGGUUGUUGGGCAAGUUAUGUUGAUCGUUUACUGUGAAGAAAUUAGAGUGUUCAAAGCAGGCUUAUGCCGUUGAAUACGUUAGCAUGGAAUAAUGAGAUAGGACCUUGAUACUAUUUUGUUGGUUUGCGCAUUAAGGUAAUGAUUAAUAGGGUCAGUUGGGGGUAUUCGUAUUUCGUUGUCAGGGGUGAAAUUCUUGGAUUUACGAAAGACGANCGACUGCGAAAGCAUUUACCAAGGAUGUUUUCAUUAAUCAAGANCGAANGUUA
This 500-nucleotide ribosomal RNA is filed under the name uncultured diatom. Its description in RNAcentral is "SSU rRNA". It matches the Rfam family "Eukaryotic small subunit ribosomal RNA", at positions 493 to 992 of the family's 1831-position model. Lineage: Eukaryota; Bacillariophyta. The record is from RNAcentral.